Non-coding RNA from Pelobates cultripes (western spadefoot toad), 297 nucleotides. The record is from the annotation of a GenBank genome assembly. Lineage: Eukaryota; Metazoa; Chordata; Amphibia; Anura; Pelobatidae.
CAGAUGGAAUCAUGCCAAGCAAAGAACCACAUUAUUAAAUGGAGAGUAUAAGGAAGAGAAAAUGGUCAUAAGAGAUGUAAUAAAUAUGAGCAUUCUAAAUCACACAUUUUAGAGUACAGUUGCCCUUGGUACAGUAAAAUGAUAUGAUCUCUUACUACACUAAUGAGAUGCAGCCUAUGCGGUUUAUUUUUGAUAAUGACAUAUACUGAGCAGAUUUCUCACUUUAUAUCAGAACGAUCAAUUGGCAUUUUGAUAAGAGGAACAUUUAAAAUGUGGAGCAGUCACCAUAGAAACUAG